Non-coding RNA from Triticum aestivum (bread wheat), 110 nucleotides. NCBI's taxonomy places the organism in Eukaryota, Viridiplantae, Streptophyta, Magnoliopsida, Poales, Poaceae. The record is from Rfam.
AGAUGCGAUCAUACCAGCACUAAAGCAUCGGAUCCCAUCAGAACUCCGAAGUUAAGCGUGCUUGGGCGAGAGUAGUNGUGACGUCCUGGGAAGUCCUCGUGUUGCAUUCC